This 400-nucleotide ribosomal RNA is filed under the name uncultured bacterium. RNAcentral's name for it is "bacterial SSU rRNA". It matches the Rfam family "Bacterial small subunit ribosomal RNA", at positions 355 to 751 of the family's 1533-position model. The record is from RNAcentral.
UGAGGAAUAUUGGUCAAUGGGCGCGAGCCUGAACCAGCCAAGUAGCGUGAAGGAUGACUGCCCUAUGGGUUGUAAACUUCUUUUGUCCGGGAAUAAAACCGCCUACGUGUAGGCGCUUGUAUGUACCGGUACGAAUAAGCAUCGGCUAACUCCGUGCCAGCAGCCGCGGUAAUACGGAGGAUGCGAGCGUUAUCCGGAUUUAUUGGGUUUAAAGGGAGCGCAGACGGGUUUUUAAGUCAGCUGUGAAAGUUUGGGGCUCAACCUUAAAAUUGCAGUUGAUACUGGAGACCUUGAGUGCAGUUGAGGCAGGCGGAAUUCGUGGUGUAGCGGUGAAAUGCUUAGAUAUCACGAAGAACUCCGAUUGCGAAGGCAGCUUGCUAAAGUGUAACUGACGUUCAUG